AACGAACGCUGGCGGCAGGCUUAACACAUGCAAGUCGAGCGCCCCGCAAGGGGAGCGGCAGACGGGUGAGUAACACGUGGGAACGUACCUUUUGCUACGGAAUAGCUCCGGGAAACUGGAAUUAAUACCGUAUGUGCCCUUUGGGGGAAAGAUUUAUCGGCAAAAGAUCGGCCCGCGUCUGAUUAGCUAGUUGGUGGGGUAAUGGCCUACCAAGGCGACGAUCAGUAGCUGGUCUGGGAGGAUGAUCAGCCACACUGGGACUGAGCCACGGCCCAGACUCCUACGGGAGGCAGCAGUGGGGAAUAUUGGACAAUGGGGGCAACCCUGAUCCAGCCAUGCCGCGUGAGUGAUGAAGGCCUUAGGGUUGUAAAGCUCUUUCGCUAGGGAAGAUAAUGACGGUACCUAGAGAAGAAGCCCCGGCUAACUUCGUGCCAGCAGCCGCAGUAA
This 447-nucleotide ribosomal RNA is filed under the name uncultured bacterium. RNAcentral describes it as "partial 16S ribosomal RNA". It matches the Rfam family "Bacterial small subunit ribosomal RNA", at positions 29 to 523 of the family's 1533-position model. The record is from RNAcentral.